This 192-nucleotide ribosomal RNA is filed under the name uncultured Streptococcus sp. Its description in RNAcentral is "partial 16S ribosomal RNA". It matches the Rfam family "Bacterial small subunit ribosomal RNA", at positions 342 to 524 of the family's 1533-position model. Lineage: Bacteria; Bacillati; Bacillota; Bacilli; Lactobacillales; Streptococcaceae. The record is from RNAcentral.
CGGGAGGGAACAGGAGGGGAUUUUUGGCAAAGGGGGGAAACCUGAAGCGAGCAACGCCGCGUGAGUGAAGAAGGUUUUCGGAUCGUAAAGCUCUGUUGUCAGUCAAGAACGAGUGUGAGAGUGGAAAGUUCACACUGGGCCGGUAGCUUACCAGAAGGGGACGGUUAAUUCCUGGCCACCGGCCCCGGUAUA